RNAcentral lists this ribosomal RNA (91 nucleotides) under uncultured Sebacina. RNAcentral's name for it is "partial 28S ribosomal RNA". It matches the Rfam family "Eukaryotic large subunit ribosomal RNA", at positions 1 to 87 of the family's 3401-position model. The record is from RNAcentral. Lineage: Eukaryota; Fungi; Basidiomycota; Agaricomycetes; Sebacinales; Sebacinaceae.
AACUUGACCUCAAAUCGAGUAGGACUACCCGCUGAACUUAAGCAUAUCAAUAAGCGGAGGAAAAGAAACUAACAAGGAUUCCCCUAGUAAC